This is a non-coding RNA of Podarcis lilfordi (Lilford's wall lizard), 122 nucleotides long. The record is from the annotation of a GenBank genome assembly. NCBI's taxonomy places the organism in Eukaryota, Metazoa, Chordata, Lepidosauria, Squamata, Lacertidae.
ACCACUGGCUCCUAUGGUUCAGAUGACUCCCUUGUUUCUUUAAAGCACUGUGCUUUAAAGAAACAAGUGCUUUAAAGGGAGUGAGGAGGGAUAAAAUCAUCUGAACCAUAGGAGCCAGUGGU